This is a long non-coding RNA of Herpailurus yagouaroundi (jaguarundi), 936 nucleotides long. RefSeq lists it as uncharacterized. Lineage: Eukaryota; Metazoa; Chordata; Mammalia; Carnivora; Felidae. The record is from RefSeq and is a predicted model, not a curated record. The transcript has 3 exons.
CUUCAGAAGGCCCCAGCAAGGGGACCAGCCCAAUCUAGGGCAGAUCAGACUCCUCCUGAAGGGCCGGCAAGGAAGACGCCUUUCCCAAUCUGGAGGCUUCGAGCGGCAGGAGCCCGAGGUGGACACUGCCAUUAUCGCGCUUCUCAGACGGGGACACUGAGGCACGUAGAGGGAGUGACCGGCCUGGGGAGAGAGGUGUGCAUAACCCAGAGCCCCUCCAGCUCAGCAUCCGUCUGGAAAGCACACGUUCCCCCAUCGGGCCUGCUGGUGACAAGGGUCCUUGGAGCCUCUACUGAAGAAGGUGACAGGUGGCCAUGGCUUCGUGGCUCCUGGAGCCCAGGAUGCUCCAGCCCCCAGGGGACAGCCACCUGAGCCCCCCCCCCCCCCCCGCCCCCGGCUGAAACUGCCAUCAGACGGACCCCUCGGGCAGGCCUCAGGCCUUUUCCGUUUGGACCUCCGGAGCCGUGGCCCGCUGUGAACCUGGGGAAGGGCCGGCAGCGGGACAGGGGGGCAGCGGGACGGGGGACCCCUGCAGGGCAACUGCAGAGGCCUCCUUCCCCGCUCUGGCUCCCCACAGCCUUCCGUGCCUUCACCUGUCAACCUGGGAGGCCCCGGCACCCAAAUGAGCAAACUGUGGGGUCCGUCUGAGGGAGCAGUGGGACACAACCAUUCCGGAGUCAGACACGCCCUACAGGGAGCACCACCAGCGAGGGCACAAAGCCAGCCACAAACGCGAGUAUGCCUGCCGUGGGGUCCCCGCUGACGGCCGGCCGAGUCCAGCCAGAGGCAGAGCCGUUGGCCACCAGGGCCUGGGUGGGGCUGGGGGCGGAGGCUAAGGGGCAGCUGGUUUCCUUUGGAGGUGAUGAAGAGGUUCUAAAAUUCACCGUCAAGGCGGGUACACACAGCUGUGAAUAUACGCAAACCCACUGAAUUGCA